Vibrio ezurae NBRC 102218 is the source of this 143-nucleotide regulatory RNA element. It matches the Rfam family "DABA-DC-AT RNA". The record is from Rfam. Lineage: Bacteria; Pseudomonadati; Pseudomonadota; Gammaproteobacteria; Vibrionales; Vibrionaceae.
GCAAUCUCAGAGUGCUCUGAGGGACACGCGUAAUAACCAUCCUGAGCUGAUUGUGAUAUUACGUAGGGUAGGUAUCAAACGAACGUCGUUUGAUAGAUGGGAAUAACCAUGUCAGUGAUGACAUAGCGAUAGGCAACCCAACA